ACGGGCGGCCAUAGCGGAGGGAAACGCCCGGUCCCAUUCCGAACCCGGAGCUAAGCCCUCCAGCGCCGAUGGUACUGCACUCGACAGGUGUGGGAGAGUAGGACACCGCCGAAC
RNAcentral lists this ribosomal RNA (114 nucleotides) under Rhodococcus (subgen. Prescottella) equi. The record is from RNAcentral. Lineage: Bacteria; Bacillati; Actinomycetota; Actinomycetes; Mycobacteriales; Nocardiaceae.